CCCAGACUCCUACGGGAGGCAGCAGUGGGGAAUAUUGCACAAUGGGGGGAACCCUGAUGCAGCGACGCCGCGUGGGCGAGGAAGUAUUUCGGUAUGUAAAGCCCUAUCGGCAGGGAAGAAGAAAUGACGGUACCUGAAUAAGAAGCACCGGCUAAAUACGUGCCAGCAGCCGCGGUAAUACGUAUGGUGCAAGCGUUAUCCGGAUUUAUUGGGUUUAAAGGGUGCGUAGGCUGUGAGGUAAGUCAGCGGUGAAAUGCCCCCGCUCAACGGGGUGAAGUGCCAUUGAUACUGCCUUGCUGGAAUGCGGAUGCCGUGGGAGGAAUGUGUGGUGUAGCGGUGAAAUGCAUAGAUAUCACACAGAACACCGAUUGCGAAGGCAUCUCACGAAUCCGCGAUUGACGCUGAUGCACGAAAGCGUGGGUAUCAAACAGGAUUAGAUACCCCGGUAAA
Molecule: ribosomal RNA, 450 nt
Filed under: uncultured bacterium
Lineage: Bacteria
Description: bacterial SSU rRNA
Rfam family: Bacterial small subunit ribosomal RNA
Source: RNAcentral